RNAcentral lists this ribosomal RNA (468 nucleotides) under uncultured bacterium. RNAcentral's name for it is "partial 16S ribosomal RNA". It matches the Rfam family "Bacterial small subunit ribosomal RNA", at positions 28 to 507 of the family's 1533-position model. The record is from RNAcentral.
GACGAACGCUGGCGGCGUGCUUAACACAUGCAAGUCGAACGGAAAGGCCCUGCUUUUGUGGGGUGCUCGAGUGGCGAACGGGUGAGUAAGACGCGAGUACCCUGCCCUUGCCGUAGGGAUAACUACAGGAAAGUGGGGCGAAUACAGGAUAGGAGCUCCAGCUGCAUGGCGGGGGUUGGAAAGUUUCGGCGGGUGGGGAUGGACUGGCGGCUUAUCAGCUUGUUGGGGGGGUAGUGGCUUACGAAGGCCUAGGCGGGUAGCCGGCCUGAGAGGGUGACCGGCCACAUUGGGCCUGUGAUACGGCCCGGACUCCUACGGGAGGCAGAGGUGGGGAAUAUUGCACAAUGGGCGGAAGCCUGAUGCAGCAACGCCGCGUGCGGGGUGACGGCCUUCGGGUUGUAGACCGCUUUCGCCUGUAUCGAAGCGUGGGUGACGGUAAUGGGUAAAGAAGCACCGGCUAACUACGUG